Molecule: long non-coding RNA, 2664 nt
Organism: Acomys russatus (golden spiny mouse)
Lineage: Eukaryota; Metazoa; Chordata; Mammalia; Rodentia; Muridae
Exons: 3
Source: RefSeq, a predicted model, not a curated record
UUUCAUAGAAGAGGGCUUUAACUGAGUUCAAACUUCAGGAAUUUUUGUCACUGAUUAUAUUGAUUAACGAGUGCUCUUACAUUUUCUGUACAACUUGUGAGAAAGUAGUGAUUGUAGUUAAUUUUUAGUGAGUGUCACAAUUGAUAAUGUCUCUGAUUCAUAUUAUUAUAUUCUCUUUCCUUCACCCACAGCAAAACAAGCUUAAUUUGAUUUAUAUCCUUAGAAGAAAAAAAACCUAAUAUUACUCACAUGGUCAUGAUUCAGCUUUUGGCUCGUUCCCGUUCCUCUUUCCCUUCUCCUCCUCUUUUUCCUUCUUCUCCUCCUCUUCCUCCUCCUCCUCUUCUCCUACCCUGCCCACUACUGUAUUUGCUCCCACCCACGAUGUUGUUGUCAUCAAAGAACUGAGUCAGUUUGUUCUUAAAAAUGGGUGGGGUCAGGAGACAAGUAAUAAAAAAAAUUUUCUGAGUGAAGUGUUCGGCUUCUGUGUGAAACAACUGCAAGAAGACAGGCAGUUCCUUCCAUGACAGGAAAUGUUUAGAACACAGUCCAGUCCUCAUCAACACAUGCUUCCAACAUCUUACAUAAAUCUGCAUGUAGCUCAUAUGCAUGUUUGUAGAGGGAUUCAUAUAGCAUUGUCAUGGAGGCAUGUUCCUAUGAGAUAAUUCUAAUACUGGAAAUUUUAUAUAAACUAUAUAUAAAGCUAAUGUGCUCUCUGAGUAGAGUACUUUGUUAAACAGUAUAUGAUUUUUGUUGUUGUUGUUUUGUAGACAGGAUCGCACUCUGUAGCUCAGGGUGGUAUUGAACCUUUGUUUCUCCUGCCUCUGCUUACCACAGCAGGAGGUUAUAAGCAUGUAUCAUUAGACCUGGCAUUCUCCAAAGAUUUUUGAUUGCUACAAAAUACAACUGAUGAAGUCACUUUAUUUGCUUUCAAAUAAACAGUGUGACUGGAAACUUGAGACUGUUUUUCCUACCCUUGGAGUGGAAGAAAACUAUUGGGGGUGUCUGGCUCAGCCUUGAUGAUGUGAUGUCGGAGGAGGGGGAAGAAGAAAUGGACAGAUCCAAACAAGGAACAAUUGAAUGAAACGCAGAUAACUCGUUAGAAAACUUUUGUAGGAAAAGUGCCUCAUGUGAUCAGAACAAAGGCGUUUUGUAAUCAGAUUUAAGCAAGCGGAGAAGAGGGAGUUUCAGCAACGGAAGCUACAGUGUUCUGUCACCAGGAAACACUGCGUUAUCCAGAAUCGGUAAGUGAAAAGUGUCAUUGUCCCUAAUAGAGAUCAUAUGAUAUGUGAGAGAAUUGAAAAUUGUUCACAGACCCCCUUCUAACAAGUGUGUGGGAAAGACAACAUAUAAACAAAGGUAAGAUUUUUUUUAAAACCAGACAACCCCCAUAGUAUAGCAUAAAAGCUGAGAAGGAGGCAGGUAAUUAACAAAAUGAACUGGGUGUUACUAGUUCCGCCAAACAUAUGUGCUAGAACUAGCUCUCACUUUUCGAACAUGGGGCAAAGCAGAAGAUCAAAAUGGGCUGCUUGCUUGAAUUGCUACAUUAAUUUUCCAUGGAUAGAGAUUUGCAUUUAGUCUGACUAACAAGAUGAAAUUUGACUAGGAACUUUCAGAAUCAGUCGGCGCCUUUGCCUCCCUGUUGUGUCGAGUAUUUUAUCUAGAUCUUUUCAAAAUGAAAGUUGAAGCAGUGCACCCAAAACAUCUGAUUGUGAGCACAGAUUAUGAUGGUCGUAGAUUUUUGUUUUGCAUUCAUGUCAUGAUUUUAAGAUUGUUCUGUUUGAUUACAUUAGUAAGGCAAAAGGGCUCCUAUUUCCAUAUAGUCCAUAGCAUUUUCAAGAUGGUAAUGAGGAAGUAACUCUUUGGAAUGGUGUGGUGCCUAUCUGUGUCUGCCUAUCUUCCUUUCUCUGAAAAGUGAAAUUCGGUUUUCUGAUUUUUGAUUCUGAGCUCCUUCUAUGCUUAAGGUUUCUAGAAAAAGACCGGGCAGCUUUGAAUAUCUGUGUUCCAAAGGACAGUGAAAUAGCAGUUUUGUGUUAAGUAUGAAUGUAUGAUUUCUUGACUUUGCUGAAUAAAGACUGUGUGAAGGUUGAGCACAACAAGAAAAAUGAGGAUAGUUAGGUGGCUGCUUGAUUGUUUCCAGUUUCUUACUGGUCAGUAGAAGUAAUCAUAUGAUAUAUACUUAUGUAGUUUUAGAUGGAAAAUAUUUUAAGUGUCAAUAAUUAUAUAGGUGUGCUGGGCAAUCUCCAUUUAUGGGUGCAAACAUGCAAUAACGACAGGAACAGAAUUGUGCUUGGAAUGAAAAAGGGUGUAACAUUGUUUAUUUUGCUUUAAGUACCUCUAGCUAAAUUAAAAGUUGGAUGUGCAUUCCUGGCCUUCUGGUUCCCAUUCUGUUGCUUUUGCAAUCAUAAAAUCCUCAACUUAAAAAAAGAAAAGAAAAGAAAAAAGAAAAAAAAAGAAAGGAAGGAAGGAAGCUGUAGCAGGAUAGCAAAGCUGCGAGUUCUCCGUUAGCUGAGUGGGCUGCAGAUGGGGAAAAGGAAGAUGAGUGUUUUGGAAUCUGUAAAUUGCCCCCCACACACAUACUUUUAGCGACUGAAGAUCCUUUUUCUUAGGCUAAUAGCUCCCACCACUUCUGUCUAAAUUAAAAGGCAAGCAUGGCUGUGGAGUGAA